GUGCUCCCUUCAGCAGCCCAUAUACUAAAAGUGGAACCAUACAGAGGGGAUUAGCACGGCCCCUGCCCAAGGAUGGCAUUCAUAUUUGUGAAGUGUUCCAUAGAUUU
This is a small nuclear RNA of Otolemur garnettii (small-eared galago), 107 nucleotides long. NCBI's taxonomy places the organism in Eukaryota, Metazoa, Chordata, Mammalia, Primates, Galagidae. The record is from Ensembl.